RNAcentral lists this ribosomal RNA (651 nucleotides) under Spyridia filamentosa. Its description in RNAcentral is "eukaryotic LSU rRNA". It matches the Rfam family "Eukaryotic large subunit ribosomal RNA", at positions 1262 to 1920 of the family's 3401-position model. The record is from RNAcentral. Lineage: Eukaryota; Rhodophyta; Florideophyceae; Ceramiales; Spyridiaceae.
GRKMAUYSRCHAAGGAGUGUGUAACAACUCACCUGCCGAAUGAAUUAGCCCUGAAAAUGGAUGGCGCUGAAGCGGGUAGCCGACACCACGCCGUCUGGACAAAGUGGUCUUUCAGAUGAGUAGGAGGGCGUGGCGGUUGUAUCGAAGCGUGGAUGCGAAUCUGCGUGGAACAGCCGCUAGUGCAGAUCUUGGUGGUAGUAGCAAAUAUUCAAGCGAGAUCCUUGAAGGGCGAAGCGGGGAAGGGUUCCACGCGAACAUUGAUUGGGCGUGGGUGAGUCGUUCCUAAGCCGCGUGGCAAUAGCUAAUUACCGGCGAAAGGGAAGCAGGUUGACAUUCCUGCACACGGAUGUGGAGACGGCGACGAUACAUGAGGCGAUCACGCUGGCGGUGGCGCUGGGCAGAGUUGUCUUUUCUGUUUGACCAUUGAAUACUUGCUGUGUGGAAUCCGCUUGUCGGGAGAAACACGCAGGUACGGGCAGAGCGCCGGGGCUUUUCCGGCGUCCAGCUCGCCACCGACGGCCCUUGAAAAAUUGCCUGCUGAACAACACUUGUGUUGUGAGAUCCACGCCGUGGCGUACCGAUAACCGCAUCAGGUCCCCAAGGUGAACAGCCUCUGCUCAGUAUGAACAAUGCAGGUAAGGGAAGUCGGCA